AAUAGGGCUGGUCAAAGAUUAAUGUAUAUUCCUACAUAUAAGGAACACACUGUGUUACAUGAUUUCUUUACACAGUUGAGAAUAUAAAAAUAUUUGUAAAGAAAAUUCAUGAAGGAUAAUGGGCUUGUUUGUCAUCAUGCGAUAAAAGCGUGUUGCGAGAUAAUUGGCAUAAAGGAUAUGUAUG
This 184-nucleotide long non-coding RNA is filed under the name Camponotus floridanus (Florida carpenter ant). RNAcentral describes it as "uncharacterized LOC112639638". Lineage: Eukaryota; Metazoa; Arthropoda; Insecta; Hymenoptera; Formicidae. The record is from RNAcentral.